AGUUUAUGAAACCAGGAAUCAUUGUUUCAUAUUAGCUAGAAUGGGGAACUGGUUGUAACCCAGUAAUGAUAGAACUUAUAUAUGUAUAUAUCUUGCUGACACUAUUACUUGCCUGAUGAAGAAUCCGUUCAGUAUUCGAAUGUGUUGUUUUUAAAUAAUAAUAUAGCUCAUAGUUAUUCAUACUUGGAUUUAUCACUCAAUGAGGAGAAGUGCCUUGGUAAUGUCCAUUUUACAAGCUGUUGACCUGCAACACUGCAACAUUUCACUUGACCAACCUGCAUCUGCAGGAAUCGAAUGAACCCAAAGGCUGCUAACUCUUUACAAACAACUAUACAACUACCUUAGUCAUGCUAAUAUCUACUGAAAAAACAAGACCACAACAUGGGGAAAAUGCAAAGUAAGAAAAAAAACAUAAUAAAUGUAUCUAGUAUGGCUCUCAUAUAGUUUUAUGACAUGAUAAUAGGUUUAUGGUAACUAUAACAUGUAAUGGAAUGCAAUGGAAACUUUUGCGGCUUCUUACAAAUAAGAAUGGAGAUAAAAUCCAAAGCUUAGUUCUAUAGUCAAAGAAUCAAAGAAUUUGAGUGUACAGCGCUGCGGAAUACUAUUACUAUUAAUAGUAUUCCUGGCAAAAGAAUAAUGUGUCACCAGUGCUGCAUGACCUCUAGGGUAUAUGAAGCCCGUCCAGUGCCUCUUAUCUACCAAGGUACUCUGGACAUUCUGCAGUUUGCCCAUUAAAAGAAAACAUCUGUGUCCUGGAUACUAAUAAGAUUGGAAAAAAUACCUCCCGGCAACCUAACAAAGAAGCUCCUGUAUAUGUAAUGCCAGGAUUUUAAGAAGUGGAAUUAAGCUUGAAACUACAGCAGUAGAAAGUACAUGUAAAUACACCCACAAGGGGGCAGUGUAAAUCAGCCAGCAAACAGCUCCAGCCCACUCCACCUUCUGUAACUGCAUAGAUAUGGUUGCCCAAACAGAAUGUCACUUGCCCUGCAAACAUCUUUGGUGCCAUUUGAAAGCAGCCAGGAUUUCUAGCGUAGCCUUAUGUCACUUCUUGUUACAUAGCAGAACAGUUGCUCCAUAACAAUUAGCUCACAUUUUAGCUAAGCACCAAUAACCAGUACAGUGCGAUAUGUAGUUCGAGAGUAAUUCCGUCUCAACGCUGCCAAGACUGAAUCUUCCCACAGAGAUUUAAACAUCCAGUUUGGCUCCAGCUUGAAACAAAUACUGACAAUGAAUGAAAAAAAUAAACGGUAUUCCCAGUAAAGACUAUUUCACAUGAUUUUAUACAACAUAAUGGCAGUCGACCGAUGUCCUGGCAUUAGAAGCAUUCCUUUUCGAUGGAGUGGACAUACAAGUCAGCUCGGCAUCACACUGUUUUAUGCUAUCAUAGAGGUAAAUGGGA
Hyla sarda is the source of this 1399-nucleotide long non-coding RNA. RefSeq lists it as uncharacterized. The transcript is spliced from 3 exons. The record is from RefSeq and is a predicted model, not a curated record. NCBI's taxonomy places the organism in Eukaryota, Metazoa, Chordata, Amphibia, Anura, Hylidae.